This 580-nucleotide ribosomal RNA is filed under the name uncultured bacterium. RNAcentral describes it as "bacterial SSU rRNA". It matches the Rfam family "Bacterial small subunit ribosomal RNA", at positions 125 to 691 of the family's 1533-position model. The record is from RNAcentral.
CCUGCCCAGAAGCGGGGGAUAACACCUGGAAACAGAUGCUAAUACCGCAUAACAACUUGGACCGCAUGGUCCGAGCUUGAAAGAUGGCUUCGGCUAUCACUUUUGGAUGGUCCCGCGGCGUAUUAGCUAGAUGGUGGGGUAACGGCUCACCAUGGCAAUGAUACGUAGCCGACCUGAGAGGGUAAUCGGCCACAUUGGGACUGAGACACGGCCCAAACUCCUACGGGAGGCAGCAGUAGGGAAUCUUCCACAAUGGACGAAAGUCUGAUGGAGCAACGCCGCGUGAGUGAAGAAGGGUUUCGGCUCGUAAAACUCUGUUGUUAAAGAAGAACAUAUCUGAGAGUAACUGUUCAGGUAUUGACGGUAUUUAACCAGAAAGCCACGGCUAACUACGUGCCAGCAGCCGCGGUAAUACGUAGGUGGCAAGCGUUGUCCGGAUUUAUUGGGCGUAAAGCGAGCGCAGGCGGUUUUUUAAGUCUGAUGUGAAAGCCUUCGGCUCAACCGAAGAAGUGCAUCGGAAACUGGGAAACUUGAGUGCAGAAGAGGACAGUGGAACUCCAUGUGUAGCGGUGAAAUGCCG